CUUGGCCCCGCGGAGCGUGACUGUCUCGGCUGGAAGCGUGGGAGGCCGGAGGAUCAGUGACUGGCUGUCGUGGACAUGCUCGCUACACCUCCCGGGGCUUCGCUUCGUUUACUAUUAACUGUCGUUACUCCUCUGUAUCUCGUCAGCAGGGGCUGCCUGCGGUGUUAGAAUUACACGCCCCUGCCACCUGGGCACGGAGCCCAGUCUCCCGGCCCCUCAGUCAGUCCUUGGGUGUAGCUGGAGCAUUUAAGAAAAAUGAAAUAUAGGAACUCAGUGCAUGGUUUCCUGGGCCUUUUUAUUGAAUAUCAUUUCUAACAUGUACACAGUAUAACCCAGGCUUAGUGGAUUCCGGGACAGAAAAUGUUGGGAGCUGGGAUAGUCAAGUAAACAAGAAGAAAUGGUAAAGAGAUGCCAAGUGGGAGAGGAAACUACGGAUGCAGAGAGAGGAUCUGGGAUAAAGAGAACAAAGAUGCGUGGUCGACUUUAUGGAAACUCGUUUCUUUUUAAUAAGUUAGCCAAGUGAAGCAGUGGGAGUGGAGAAGGAACAAAGAAAUCUGUAAAGUAGUUGUGAUCAAUUAGUUGUAAACACCACUGCACUCAGACUCAGACCAGCUUGCAUUGAUUUUUAUGACCUAAUCUCAGAGGUUGUACAGCGUCACUUCCACUGUACUCUACUUGUUGAAGCAGCUACAAAAACACCACAUUUAAGUAAAGGGGACACUAAUUGGGAGGAGUGUUAGUCACAUUAUAAGAAGAGCAUGUGGAAUGAGAGAUUAAGUAGAGAUAUUAUUGCAGUCAUUUAAGGAAAAUAUAAUCUCCCAUAAUAUUAAUAUCUGUUUUCCUUUUGUAAAAAAAAAAUGUACCAUUUCAGGCUGAGCAUGUUGGCUCAUGCCUGUAAUCAUAACAUUUUGGGAGGCUGAGGCCAGUGGAUCACCUGAGGUCAGGAAUUCGAGACCAGCCUGGCCAACAUGGCGAAACCUCGUCUCUGUUAAAAAUACAAAAAUUAGCCGGGUGUGGUGGCAGUCACCUAUAAUCCCAGCUACUCGGAAGGCUGAGGCAGGAGAAUCGCUUGAACCCAGGGGCGGAGGUUGCAGGGAGCUGGUACCACCACUGCACUCCAGCCUGGAUGACAGAGUGAAACUCUGUCUCAAAAAAACAAAACAAAACAAAAACUAAAAUGUACCAUUUCAGAUUUUUUUUCUGAAAUUAAACCUGAAAAGGUCAAAAAACACAUAAAUUACAGUCCCUUUCAAUUACUUACCAGGUACAGGUAUUGUUUAAGUCUAUAGAAGUUCAGACUAUAGUAGUUCAAAAUACCUUAUACAGGGCAGCUUAUAAAAAGCAGAAGUUUAUUUCUCAUAGUUCUGAAGACUGGGAAGUCCGGGUUCAAGGUUCUGGCAGAUUCAGUGCCUGUCGAGGGACUGCUUUUUGGUUCACAGAUAGUGUCUUCUAGCUGUCUCCUCAUGUGGUAGAAGGGUGCCUUUUUUAUUAGUACCCCUAGUUUUAUUUAUUUUAUUUUAUUUUUUAGAGACAGGGGUUUUACUAUGUUGCCCAGGCUAGCCUCAAACUCCUGGGCUUGAGCGAUCCUCCCACCUCAGCCUCCCAAGUAGUUGGGACUACAGGCACAUGUUAAAACACCUGGUUCCUAUUAGUGGUUAUUUUAUAAAGGCACUAAUCUCAUCUGUGGCACCAGAGCCCUCAUGACCUAAUUACCUCCCAAAGAUCCCAUCCCCUAAUACCAUCAUAUUGGUGAUGAGGUUUCAAUACAUGAAUUUGGGGGGCUGGGGACACAAACAUUCAGACCACAGUAGUUGUUACAUUGAUAUGAGCUGGUAAGUGUUAACACCUGGCAGCAAUCAGAUACCCAGCCAUAGGUGAAGGCAGGUGAUUAGAAUUACCAGCCAACACAUUUAUGUGCUAGCUAAUUUUUAUUCAAAACUUUCUGAAGCUACAUUCAAAGCAGUUAAUGGGAAAUGGAGUAAAAAAAUAGGCAACCUCUCACUCUAGAUAAUGCUGUUAAAAGUAAUUUUUCCUCCCAGUCCUCUCCUGUAAUGAAUAGUAUAAGAAGGUAUCCUCCCAACGUAGAGGCACCUUGUGUUUCCAAAGUUUUAAUUAGUUGUCAUGAUAAUUUUAUGUGUCAACUUGACUGGGUUAAGGGAUGCCCAAAUAGGUAGUAAAACAUUAUUUCUGGGUGUAUCUGUGAAGGUGUUUCUGGAUAAAAUUAACAUUUGAAUGGGUAGACUGAGUAGAGCAGACUGUCCUCCCCCAUGUGGGUGGCCCUUAUCCAAAUGGUUGAAGGCUAAAAUAGAACAAAAAAGCUGAGUAGAGGGGAUUCCCUCUGCCUGACUACCUUCGAACUGGGGCGGUGGCUGUUUCCUGCCUUUGGACUUGAACUGAAACAUCAGCUCUUCCUGAGUCUUGAGCCUCCUGGCUUUUGAACUGAAACAACAGUAAUGGCUCUCCUGGUUCUCAGGCAUUUGGACUUUGACUAGAACUACACCAUCAGUUCUCCUGGGUCUCCAGCUUGCCAAUCUCCAGUUUGCCAACUGCGGAUCUUGGGACUUGUCAGCCUCCAUAACUCCAUGAACCAAUUUUUUGUAAUAAAUCUCUUUCUAUAUGUCUAUUUAUUCUGUUGGUUCUGUUUCUCUGGAGAACCCUAAUGCCAUACAUAAUUUUUAAAAAAAAAAAAACUCUUUCCUUCUCUGUUUUUCUCUUAUACUUUUGUGAGUGUAGUGAUAGGCCAAAUCACAUAAGUGCUAAUAAAUACUUUUCCAACAAGUACUUAACCUUGUUUAGGUGAUAAUCACUUGUCUUACCUUUGUGUUCAGAAGAAUUCCCAAUUCCAACUUUCUUAGGUAUUUAUUGAAAAGCAGGAGGAGGGUUCGGUGGAGGGAAGAAGAGAUGGAAUAGGAUUUAGGAUCAUUGCAAAGACCGAGGUAGUUGGGGAACAUAAAGGUUUUAUGUUGCCUUUCUUCUUCCUCCUUAUCAUUGAAGGUCUCCUCCUCCCUCCUGCUCCCCAUCACACACCCUCACAUGCCCCCAUGUGGCCUCUUACUAAACAGGGAGAGAAGAGAAGAGCUGGAGAAAUGGAAGUAUUUUGUAUUGGUAAGCCCAAGCAGCAGCAUGCUGAGAAAAGAGGAGUUUUUAUGGCCCCUGGCUACCCAUCUGGAAUAAACAGUUCUAUUUCCAAAUGGCUAUUUCUAUGCCAAUGUAAAAAGACAUAGAUAAUGCAGAUUAUUGUGUAGACAUUACUAAUAUUCAACAAUAUCUCGUUUUCCUCUUCUUCCAGGCAUACUGAAGACUAUAUUUCUCAGCUGCCUUUGCAGGUGGGCAGGGUCAUGUGACUAUUAUGACUAAUAAAAUGUGAGCAAAAGUGACGAGUCACUUGUGGGCUGAGGCAGUGAAAAGUUGUUUGUGAUUCUCAAAUCUCUCUUCUGUUCUGCCAUUGCAAUUGUGGAAGGAGCUUUAUGUUGAAACGGAAGAGCCAAAAGAUUGAAGUAGUCUAUGUCUCAGUCACCAUAUGGGAGGGCAAAUGCCCUGGAGAACCACCCAGA
Molecule: long non-coding RNA, 3554 nt
Filed under: Homo sapiens (human)
Lineage: Eukaryota; Metazoa; Chordata; Mammalia; Primates; Hominidae
Description: non-protein coding lnc-EIF2AK4-1:10
Source: RNAcentral